Molecule: long non-coding RNA, 1772 nt
Filed under: Bemisia tabaci
Lineage: Eukaryota; Metazoa; Arthropoda; Insecta; Hemiptera; Aleyrodidae
Description: lncRNA ENSASIAIIG007779
Source: RNAcentral
AAGCCAUUUGAUUUCCAAUUUCUUCUUUUGUCCAGCUGUAAUUUUAUUUUACAGCUUGGGUCUUGGGAUAUUUUCACUUGGCAACGCCGAGUCGCCGACAGAACGAGAUGACCAAUCAGAGGCCUUGGUUGGCCGCUAAAUAGAUUUUUACCGCAUAAAUUCGCAAGUAGUUGUGAGUGUGUGGUGUGUGUGUGAGAUGGGUCAUUGACAUGUUUUGUUAGUGUACACUGGUGUACACGGUGUUUGUUUUGGUUCUAAAGUCCGGAGAAGUCCAGUGCUUUGCAGAGAUUUGAAAGCUUAAAAUUGAUCAAUGGAAGUGAAUUUUCAUAGCAAAUUGUUCACCUUAUUUCUAUUUCCAUCUCUGUGUGUAAGCUUUUUGAUGUCAUAAAAUCGUUGACGAAUGAAGACAAGAUAAGGAAGGAUCUCUUACCUAACCCUACUUUCUCCGUGUCCUGAUUGAUUUUCGCACGUGAUUUAUUUCUUUGGCCGUCAACAUUGGAUGUCUUUCCAAUUAUUAUUUGUAGUCUACCAUACGAAAAGUAAUUUUCCGUGAAUUAUUUUAACCAUCCUAGGUAAAAGUGUGAAGAUGGACACAAUUUUUGUUUGCAUAUGUCCAUUGCUAUAAGAAUUUGGACUCAUCCUUUUUCGAUCAGAAACAAGAGCUUUCCUCGAAGAGUUGAAAACCUUUGAAGCGCCUUUCUUUAGCAGCAGGUUGUCUCGUCAUCAUGAACUCAAUGGAGGAAGGCGCCAGUCCUGACGUUUGGUCGCAGGAAACUGUUGAUCUUCUAGACUCCAUCCUAGAAACUUAUCGCAAGAACGACGAAGAGAAACUGCUUAAACUAGAGGACGAUGUAAACACAAUGAAGGGCCUCAUUCAAUGCUCUCUGACGUCACGCAUACUCAGUGUCCAGAAAGAAAACGAAGCCUUGCUCCUCGAGCAAGCCCGGACUCAGAGAGAGCUAACCAGUGUUCAGAAUGAACUAUCUGCGACCAGGGAAGAGCUCGAAGAAGCCCUGAGCUUUCAACAAAUGCAAAGAAAAGAUCAGGAGGAGCUAACAACCGUCCGGAGCGAAUUAGCUGCGACAAAGCGAGAGCUAGAGCAAGUGAAAAGGCAGUGCGCGGCUGCCAAAAAAACAGCGACAGAUUUGCAGAAAAAGCAGUCGAUGCUGGAAAAAACCAAUCAGUCACUGAGAAGUGAGAAAGAAAAUUAUUUAGAGCGACUGACCCAACAAAGUUCCUACUGCGUAUCGCUAGGAGACGUAAUGGGAACACUUCUCUGGAUGUGUACAAGUUUGCCUGAGACUAUCGAACUACUUUCCCGGACGGAGAAGACGAAAGAACUGCUACACUUGGCGGCAACGACGCUAAAUACUUUCGUUGCAUCUUGUCCCGACUCCUUCCCAGAGGAAGGUUCCCGUGAGUUAUUGUUCAUAUCUUCCCUGCUUGGAAUCAUCGCAAAUCUAGUGACUUUAAAAGAAGGCUGUUUCACGCUCACUUCCACCUUCAUCGGAGCAGGGACUUUCAUCGGCCCAAUUCUAGAAGCUCUACCCACCAUUUACUUGAAAGCCGGAGAUAGUCUUAGAUCGCUGGAUUCCCUCUUCCAAUCGCCCCAGGAGCCCCGAAGAAGCAGCUACCGGAGAGGCAACUCCGCGGCCCCGUCCCCCGCUGACGUCACCGGGGGUCCGGUUGACGCGGGGGUGGAGCGGACCCGGCCCGGGAUUCGAGGAAUGCCAGGAAUCGUAAGACCAAAGGGCCGGGUCCCUUGCCGAUAA